Daucus carota subsp. sativus is the source of this 1620-nucleotide long non-coding RNA. RefSeq lists it as uncharacterized. The record is from RefSeq and is a predicted model, not a curated record. The transcript is spliced from 2 exons. NCBI's taxonomy places the organism in Eukaryota, Viridiplantae, Streptophyta, Magnoliopsida, Apiales, Apiaceae.
UAGUUUAUUUUAAUAUAUAACUUUUUAUGUUUAAAAAUAAUAAAUAAAUAAUUUUUUAUGUAUAGUCAAAGAUGAGUCAAUUUGACUAGUUAAAAGUCAAAUGUGACAUGUAUUUUGAGACGGAGGGAGUAAUAAACACUAUUACACUCAUUAUUUUCCUUCACUAUCUCAAAUCUAUUAUUAAAUAUUGGUAGGUACCACCACUUUACCCACUUUUCAACUAAACUUACUAUAUGUUUAUCGCCGUGAAAGUCAAACUAGCUCACUGUUUUUGAGACGAGGGAAUAUAAGAGCAUCUCCAACCAUCAAGACUCCUUAGCUAAAAGGUGAGUUGUCAUGCCAAAAAUAAAAAAUUUAGUCAACCACUUCAAAAGUUCACACUCCAACCAUGGUGACCUGUUGUCUAUAAAUUUAGCCAACCUUCUAUGGAUGGCUAAAUUUGUCGAACCUCUACAGUUCUGUAAGAAAUCUGUAGGAUGAUUGCACAUCAUUUAUUACCAUAUUGAACUGAUAUAUUCUAUUUUAACAAUCUAAAAUAUUAAUAACAUACUAUCUUUAAAUUAUAGCCAACGAAUAUAGGAAAUACCAUUGAAGCGAAAUGUCUUACAGGUUCAGCAAAUUUUACAUAACGUCUUACCGGUCCAAUUUAGCCAACUAUUAUAGCCAACACCGUUGGAGAUGCUCUAAAAGUACCUUGCAAUUUCGAUAUUUUUUUCGAAGUACUCCCUUUUUUGAACUCUUGCCGUGUUUCAUUUUCCGGCCGUCACGCACAGAUGAUACUCUAAGAAAAUCCAUAUAAAAACCUAACCAUGGUCGAUACUGCCGCACAACAACCAUCAUGUCCUCCGUGCUUCCACUUUUAGGAUCAAUUUUAUGAUUUCAAUUAUCACACACACACAAAUACAUACAAAGAAAGGAUGGUUAUGUUUAAGUUUCUGCCAAACAUCGUAACCGGAUCUGAUACCGGCCUCAAGGAUCUUCCUUCAUCAUUCGGAGAGUCUUAUUUGGAAAGAUUGUGCUUUUGCAAUUUAUUUUUAAACAUUAAAAUAUUUUUACAUGGUGCCUCCUCAUCUAACCCUAAUUCUCUCUAGAGCCUAGCCUCUCUCUUGCUGUAGCCGCCUGGGGCUUCCAUCGGUUUUCACCGGUGGAAAGCCCCAAAUCAGUUAAUUACUUUGCUUUCUUUAUAGUUUUCGAAUAAUACUUCUUUUCUGAAAUUUAGAUCGAAGACUAUCGGAGAUUUCGCUGUUUCUCUUCCAAGUGGGUGGGUUUUCAGUCCGAUUUCUCUUGUUUUUGUGGUUCUGUUCCAGAUCUAUUCUCGAAAAGAUUCUUAGAUCUAAAACCAUCGGAGAUUUCGCUGUCUUUCCACUAUGUUUCAAUCGGGUGGAUUUUUAGUCUGAUUUCUCUUGUUUUUGUGGUUCCGCUCCAGAUCUAAGUUCUGGUCGAUAGCUCAAACGAUAGCUCUAUUAGGGCAUGAUGAAGAGGGUACCGGUGAUUCAACGAGGAUGCAUGAAGCGGGUAUUUGUAUUUGUAUAUAUUUAAUCUUCAAAAUAUCGUUUAACUGUCUCUUCAUGAGAACAGGCGAUUGCAAUUUCCAGUUUAUUCGACUCGAUCAUUGGUGUA